CUUGUGUAGAAGCUGCAUGUGCUUAAUUCAUUGUGACAUGUUGAGCCAGGAAAUGAGAGAAUUGGGCCGAAUGGCCUCUAAGGACACUUUCCUCUGUGACCAUAUGUGGCAAAGAGAAGCCUGGUUAUUUUCCUCCUGAUCAUAUAACUAGCCUUGAAUGUCCUUUCUCGUUGUUUUUCUGCCUUCGAGGUUGCUCAACUGUGCUCCACACCUUAGCUGAUCCUAAAAUUUUUGCAAGUUGCAUCUUCUGCUGCUGGAGGGCACUGUGGAGAAGUUUGGCAGAAUACCCCAUCCACCCCGCCCCCCUCACCCUGAAGGCUGCUUGCGCUGCUGGAACUGGAAAGUCUAUGUUUCUGAAACAAUUAAAGAGGAAAUGGAAGAUUGUGUGUGGGGCUGAAGCUUCAGUUUAUGCUGUGAGAACACUGAGUAAUCCCCAAAGGCAAUGGGAUCCAGAGAAUCAUCAGCGAGCUGGAGACUGGGAGAACACGGAGCGCGAACGCUGCACUGCCUUGGAAUAUACAAAAGAAAACAAAGAAGCAUACUGAUCUGAAGACAGUUGGGAGUUUUGUGUUAUCUGUUCUUCUCUGCCUUCAGUAGCCCCAGAGCGACGUCUCUGAGUGAAAAUUCCGACUGAUUACCAGCCACAGCCCCACACUGGGUGACGUCCUUCAGCAAAGCAUCGCGAGUUUUCCUGCUCAUUCCCAUGCCUGAAUGGUUCCUACGCACCACUACUGGGCAGUCAGUGUUGAGGGAAGCCUGCCUUUCUCACUUUCCA
RNAcentral lists this long non-coding RNA (775 nucleotides) under Equus asinus (donkey). Its description in RNAcentral is "lncRNA (ENSEASG00005037285.1)". The record is from RNAcentral. Lineage: Eukaryota; Metazoa; Chordata; Mammalia; Perissodactyla; Equidae.